CUUAGGCGUGUGACUGCGUACCUUUUGUAUAAUGGGUCAGCGACUUAUAUUCUGUAGCAAGGUUAACCGAAUAGGGGAGCCGAAGGGAAACCGAGUCUUAACUGGGCGUUAAGUUGCAGGGUAUAGACCCGAAACCCGGUGAUCUAGCCAUGGGCAGGUUGAAGGUUGGGUAACACUAACUGGAGGACCGAACCGACUAAUGUUGAAAAAUUAGCGGAUGACUUGUGGCUGGGGGUGAAAGGCCAAUCAAACCGGGAGAUAGCUGGUUCUCCCCGAAAGCUAUUUAGGUAGCGCCUCGUGAAUUCAUCUCCGGGGGUAGAGCACUGUUUCGGCAAGGGGGUCAUCCCGACUUACCAACCCGAUGCAAACUGCGAAUACCGGAGAAUGUUAUCACGGGAGACACACGGCGGGUGCUAACGUCCGUCGUGAAGAGGGAAACAACCCAGACCGCCAGCUAAGGUCCCAAAGUCAUGGUUAAGUGGGAAACGAUGUGGGAAGGCCCAGACAGCCAGGAUGUUGGCUUAGAAGCAGCCAUCAUUUAAAGAAAGCGUAAUAGCUCACUGGUCGAGUCGGCCUGCGCGGAAGAUGUAACGGGGCUAAACCAUGCAC
RNAcentral lists this ribosomal RNA (609 nucleotides) under Escherichia coli. RNAcentral's name for it is "bacterial LSU rRNA". It matches the Rfam family "Bacterial large subunit ribosomal RNA", at positions 584 to 1194 of the family's 2925-position model. Lineage: Bacteria; Pseudomonadati; Pseudomonadota; Gammaproteobacteria; Enterobacterales; Enterobacteriaceae. The record is from RNAcentral.